Molecule: ribosomal RNA, 730 nt
Filed under: uncultured bacterium
Lineage: Bacteria
Description: bacterial SSU rRNA
Rfam family: Bacterial small subunit ribosomal RNA
Source: RNAcentral
AACAGGAUUAGAUACCCUGGUAGUCCACGCCGUAAACGAUGUCGACUUGGAGGUUGUGCCCUUGAGGCGUGGCUUCCGGAGCUAACGCGUUAAGUCGACCGCCUGGGGAGUACGGCCGCAAGGUUAAAACUCAAAUGAAUUGACGGGGGCCCGCACAAGCGGUGGAGCAUGUGGUUUAAUUCGAUGCAACGCGAAGAACCUUACCUACUCUUGACAUCCAGAGAACUUUCCAGAGACGGAUUGGUGCCUUCGGGAACUCUGAGACAGGUGCUGCAUGGCUGUCGUCAGCUCGUGUUGUGAAAUGUUGGGUUAAGUCCCGCAACGAGCGCAACCCUUAUCCUUUGUUGCCAGCGAUUCGGUCGGGAACUCAAAGGAGACUGCCAGUGAUAAACUGGAGGAAGGUGGGGAUGACGUCAAGUCAUCAUGGCCCUUACGAGUAGGGCUACACACGUGCUACAAUGGCAUAUACAAAGAGAGGCGACCUCGCGAGAGCAAGCGGACCUCAUAAAGUAUGUCGUAGUCCGGAUUGGAGUCUGCAACUCGACUCCAUGAAGUCGGAAUCGCCAGUAAUCGUGGAUCAGAAUGCCACGGUGAAUACGUUCCCGGGCCUUGUACACACCGCCCGUCACACCAUGGGAGUGGGUUGCAAAAGAAGUAGGUAGCUUAACCUUCGGGAGGGCGCUUACCACUUUGUGAUUCAUGACUGGGGUGAAGUCGUAACAAGGUAACC